UACGAAGGGGGCUAGCGUUGCUCGGAAUCAUUGGGCGUAAAGGGCGCGUAGGCGGCCCGGUAAGUCAAAGGUGAAAUCCCUCGGCUCAACUGAGGAACUGCCUUUGAAACUGUCGGGCUUGAGGCCGGGAGGGGGUGGCGGAAUUCCCAGUGUAGCGGUGAAAUGCGUAGAUAUUGGGAGGAACACCAGUGGCGAAGGCGGCCACCUGGACCGGUUCUGACGCUGAUGCGCGAAAGCGUGGGUAGCAAACAGG
Molecule: ribosomal RNA, 253 nt
Filed under: uncultured bacterium
Lineage: Bacteria
Description: partial 16S ribosomal RNA
Rfam family: Bacterial small subunit ribosomal RNA
Source: RNAcentral